AUUUAUAUAGUUUAACAAUUUUAAAACCCCUUAUUUUCAAUAAGGAAAUAAGAAUAUAUUCUUUAUAAAUA
RNAcentral lists this transfer RNA (71 nucleotides) under Eysarcoris gibbosus. RNAcentral's name for it is "tRNA-Glu". Lineage: Eukaryota; Metazoa; Arthropoda; Insecta; Hemiptera; Pentatomidae. The record is from RNAcentral.